UUUUUUUGAACGAAUACAUAAAAAGUUUUAUUUCAGACUUGUUUCAGAAUGGGAUUGUGGAAUGCGCUGGAUUCGUCACAGGAUAAGUAGAGUCGGAGAUGCUGAACGAGCUGCAGAGGCGGAUGAUCCUGAGUGAGAUCGAGGAGAUCAGUUGGAUGUCACCGGAAGAUGUUGACGUGGAAAUAUUGCUGAGCCCGGAGCAGUUUGAAGAGCUUGGAAUAAAUAACAGGGCAAUGAUGGUCCUCAAUCCGGUACACAUGGACACGGAGGCGGCCAAGCAGACGAUCCUGGAGCUAGUCGAAGAGGGGUACCCUGAGGCGCAGAUGGGUCUUGGAUUUAUGUACGCCACGGGCAUCGGGUUCAACGAGAGCCAUGCCAAGGCGCUGGUCUACUACAUGAUAGCAGCUUUGGGGAACAACUCGUAGGCUCAGAAAGCGCUCGAGUACCGGCCUGGCCCAGAGUUGGGGUACCGAUUAGUUGCGAAACGGCGCUGGAUUUCUACAAGAAGGUGGCAACGAAGGCGACCAUUAACCAAUCAAGGGAAGUUUUCCGGCGGAGUAGCCGUCCAUCGGAUAAGGCUUUUGGAUGAGAAUCCCGAUGGACCAUCAGAAAGCAUUGCAGUGCUUUAGUCAUUCGGCCAAUGCAGCAAAAGCCGUUUCCAUAAAUUUCCUGGGAAAGAUCUACCUGGAGAGGAGCGACAGCAUCAAAGCGGACAAUGACACAGCGCAAUCCCGUUGGACAGUCCGAUUUGGGUGUGAUGUAUCUGCACGGGAAGGAGGUUCCCUAGGACACGGUAAAAGCGCUGAAGUAUAUCACGGAAGCGGUCGAUAAGGCCGAUACGGCGAAGGCGAACCCAAAGACGAUACCGAGGGCAAAGAGGAUGACGCGUACGAACUGACCGACAACGACGACGACGAUGAAUCCGACUCGGCAGCGUCUGAGGUGGCAGACAUGGAGAUUUCCGAUGCGAUGAUGAAUCUGGCAAGGAUUGGUCAAAACCGGAACAAAAGGCUGCCGAGGAGGAUCGCUACUGCUACAAGGAUGAUGACGUGGACGGCCGAAAAUCUUCAAGAAACGAUCCCAUCAUAGUUCGUCCAAGAGCAGCACGACAAGCACAGCAAGGAUCAACACCACAGCUCGCACCAUCACGCAUGGCAUUGCUUCCAGAAGCGGGUCCGUUCCUAUAUGUUAAUUUUGUUCAAUUGUUUAAUAAAUAAAAAUGGU
Aedes albopictus (Asian tiger mosquito) is the source of this 1224-nucleotide long non-coding RNA. RefSeq lists it as uncharacterized. Lineage: Eukaryota; Metazoa; Arthropoda; Insecta; Diptera; Culicidae. The record is from RefSeq and is a predicted model, not a curated record. The transcript is spliced from 3 exons.